Molecule: ribosomal RNA, 306 nt
Filed under: Triticum aestivum (bread wheat)
Lineage: Eukaryota; Viridiplantae; Streptophyta; Magnoliopsida; Poales; Poaceae
Description: partial small subunit ribosomal RNA
Source: RNAcentral
AUGGCCAACCACGGAGCCGCCGCUCUCCUGAUCGCGUCCCUGCUCGUGGUUGCGGUCACCCUCGCCGACGCCAGGAUCACCGGGCAGCUGCAGCGCGGCAGCAUUAACGGAGUUUAUGCAUUGACGAAGGCGGUGCCGGCGCUGACGUGCAACAAGGUGAGCGCGGUGCAGACGGGCGAGACCUGCUCCUCCCUCGCGGAGAGCGCCGGCCUCAGCCAGGAGGACUUCCUGGGCUUCAACCCCAACAUCAACUGUGUCAGGAUCUUCGUCGGCCAGUGGGUCUGCCUCGACGCAUCCUCUGCCUAA